Molecule: long non-coding RNA, 554 nt
Organism: Phyllopteryx taeniolatus (common seadragon)
Lineage: Eukaryota; Metazoa; Chordata; Actinopteri; Syngnathiformes; Syngnathidae
Exons: 3
Source: RefSeq, a predicted model, not a curated record
CAGGGAGAGGUAAAUGAUGGAGAGGAAAGAGAAGUUGCGAAGAGAAGCAAGCGGUCCUGUGAAGGUUUGGUGAAUGGGAGAGGAACAGGAGGAAAAAGAGAGGAGGGAAAGGAAUGGCAAAGGAAAACAGGGAAAGGAGUCUGAUCCAACGGUGUCUUGUAUGACAGAGGGGAGAUAUCCUCAGCACCGAUCACCGACAGAUGCACUUUGUGCACAGAACAGACCACACGAAGAUGCAAGCACAGACACGGACUGUCCUCUGACUUGCAAUACAAGAAAAGCACAAAGGAAUUGUUCCAGUUUCCUAAGGAUGCAGAAAUGAGGCGGUAAAAGGGGGCUCGUCCGAGGCUUGCAAGCACAGUGCCGCCUCUUUUUUCAGCCCAGCUGGUAGGAGGGUCUUAAAGCAGCCAAGCAGACGCAGACCAUUGGGCUGCAGCGUUUCCACAACCUGGGAGUAUGCAUGGGAGAGGAGGAGAGGGUUUGGAAAGUGAGAGGCAGAUGGCAACAGAGCGAGCAGUCGAUUCCCCCUACUGGAUGCAAGUGAACCUACCGCC